Molecule: ribosomal RNA, 494 nt
Filed under: uncultured bacterium
Lineage: Bacteria
Description: partial 16S ribosomal RNA
Rfam family: Bacterial small subunit ribosomal RNA
Source: RNAcentral
GAUGAACGCUAGCGGCAGGCCUAACACAUGCAAGUCGAGGGGUAUAAGUCUUCGGACUUUGAGACCGGCGCACGGGUGCGUAACGCGUAUGCAAUCUACCUUGUACAGAGGGAUAGCCCAGAGAAAUUUGGAUUAAUACCUCAUAGUAUAUUUGAAUGGCAUCAUUUAAAUAUUAAAGUCCCAACGGUACAAGAUGGGCAUGCGUCCCAUUAGUUAGUUGGUGUGGUAACGGCACACCAAGACGUUGAUGGGUAGGGGUCCUGAGAGGGGGAUCCCCCACACUGGUACUGACACACGGACCAGACUCCGACGGGAGGCGGCAGUGGGGAAUAUUGGUCAAUUGAGGCAACUUUGACCCAGCCAUGCCGCGUGCAGGAUGACGGGUCUAUGGAUUGUAAACUGCUUUUAUACGGGAAUAAAAAGAGUUACGUGUAACUUAUUGACGGUACCGUAAGAAUAAGGAUCGGCUAAGUCCGUGCCAGCAGCCGCCGUAA